GGGCCUGUGGUCUAGUGGUAUGACAUGCCCUUAGCAUUGUUUUAACUAUUAAAUUCUGCGAAUCUGGGCAAGGUCCGGCGUUCAAUUCGCCGCUGGUCCA
Molecule: non-coding RNA, 100 nt
Organism: Arachnomyces sp. PD_36
Lineage: Eukaryota; Fungi; Ascomycota; Eurotiomycetes; Onygenales; Arachnomycetaceae
Source: the annotation of a GenBank genome assembly